Molecule: ribosomal RNA, 445 nt
Filed under: uncultured bacterium
Lineage: Bacteria
Description: partial 16S ribosomal RNA
Rfam family: Bacterial small subunit ribosomal RNA
Source: RNAcentral
CCAGACUCCUACGGGAGGCAGCAGUGGGGGAUAUUGCACAAUGGGGGGAACCCUGAUGCAGCGACGCCGCGUGGGUGAAGGAGCGUUUCGGCGCGUAAAGCCCUAUCGGCAGGGAAGAAGGAGGACGGUACCUGACUAAGAAGCCCCGGCUAACUACGUGCCAGCAGCCGCGGUAAUACGUAGGGGGCAAGCGUUAUCCGGAUUUACUGGGUGUAAAGGGGGCGCAGACGGCGAUGCAAGGCAGGAGUGAAAGGCCGGGGCCCAACCCCGGGACUGCUCUUGGAACUGCGUGGGUAGAGUGCAGGAGGGGCAGGCGGAAUUCCUGGUGUAGCGGUGGAAUGCGUAAAUAUUAGGAGGAACACCAGUGGCGAAGGCGGCUUACUGGGCUUUAACUGACGCUGAGGCUCGAAAGCGUGGGUAGCAAACAGGAUUAGAUACCCGAGUA